RNAcentral lists this antisense RNA (75 nucleotides) under Nocardia donostiensis. Its description in RNAcentral is "ASpks TB sRNA". It matches the Rfam family "ASpks TB sRNA". Lineage: Bacteria; Bacillati; Actinomycetota; Actinomycetes; Mycobacteriales; Nocardiaceae. The record is from Rfam by way of RNAcentral.
CUUGAUCGACCCGAGCCACAGCGGCCGCUCGGCGGUCCGGUCCCGGCCGUAGGUGGCGAGCAGUGCCUGCGCUUC